GUGUUCUCAAACUUCAGUGACACAUAUACUAAAAUUGGAAUAAUACAGAGAUUAGCAUGGCCCCUGCUCAAGGAUGACACGCAAAUGCCGAAAGAAGUUAUUUUAUUUC
Molecule: small nuclear RNA, 109 nt
Organism: Ochotona princeps (American pika)
Lineage: Eukaryota; Metazoa; Chordata; Mammalia; Lagomorpha; Ochotonidae
Source: Ensembl